RNAcentral lists this ribosomal RNA (707 nucleotides) under Clitopilus prunulus. RNAcentral describes it as "eukaryotic LSU rRNA". The stretch from base 305 to 458 matches the Rfam family "5.8S ribosomal RNA". The record is from RNAcentral. Lineage: Eukaryota; Fungi; Basidiomycota; Agaricomycetes; Agaricales; Entolomataceae.
UYYUKGKYYWMMWUUUGAGGAAGUAAAAGUCGUAACAAGGUUUCCGUAGGUGAACCUGCGGAAGGAUCAUUAUUGAAUAAACUUGGUCAAGUUGUUGCUGGUCCCUCGGGGCAUGUGCACGCUUGCCACCAAUUUUAACCACCUGUGCACCUUUUGUAGGCUGGAAACGAUUCUCGAGGCAACUCGGUUUGAGGACUGCUGUGCGAAAGCUGGCUUUCCUUGUGUUUCUCAGUCUAUGUUUUAUUAUACCCCGCAUGUAUGUAUCAGAAUGUAUUGCUAGGCCUAGUGCCUAUAAAUCAAAUACAACUUUCAACAACGGAUCUCUUGGCUCUCGCAUCGAUGAAGAACGCAGCGAAAUGCGAUAAGUAAUGUGAAUUGCAGAAUUCAGUGAAUCAUCGAAUCUUUGAACGCACCUUGCGCUCCUUGGUAUUCCGAGGAGCAUGCCUGUUUGAGUGUCAUUAAAUUCUCAACCUUACAAGUUUUUUGAACCUGUAUGGCUUGGAUCAUGGGAACUGCGGGCUUUAACAAGUCGGCUUUCCUUAAAUGCAUUAGCAGAACUUUUGUUGCUAACCUCUGGUGUGAUAAUUAUCUACGCUAUUGGGAAGCGACAUGUUGAAGUACCGCUUCUAAUCGUCUGUCAUGGACAACCUUUGACAAUCUGACCUCAAAUCAGGUAGGACUACCCGCUGAACUUAAGCAUAUCAWAA